RNAcentral lists this long non-coding RNA (431 nucleotides) under Physcomitrium patens. RNAcentral describes it as "long non-coding RNA (PPAT_LNC004886)". Lineage: Eukaryota; Viridiplantae; Streptophyta; Bryopsida; Funariales; Funariaceae. The record is from RNAcentral.
AUGCAACUUGAAGUGGUUACCAAGAGCAUAAUUCAACAACCCAGCACCCGCUUGGCAAUCUGACAAUCUAGAGGGGGAGGGAUUGUACUACUACUACUACUACGUCGAACUGAAACCAUGGUUUAGGGUUUGAUUGUAAUCUGUGUGUGUGUGUGUGUGUUUGUCUCUCUCUCUCUGUCAACUUAGCGCAGAGCUGUGGGUCUGAAAUUCUCCCUCGCUCUCCUGUGUACUACGAUUCAGAGGUGGGUUUGCCUGUACUCAAUUGGGAAGUUCAUCCACGUACUCGAAGUGGGGAGGGAUAAGGAUUGGAACCUGGGCAUGGCUAUAGCGUAGAUAGCCUGAACAGCCGUGGAUGCUGCUGUUGCUAAAUGUUGCUGCUGGGUCCCUGUCUGCGAACGCGCGAAAUCAGUGCAGCCAUCGAUUCCCCGCUC